GGAGGGGUGCAAACGUUGCUCGGAAUUACUGGGCGUAAAGCGCAUGUAGGCGGUCUGCUAAGUCUCGUGUGAAAGCCCUGGGCUCAACCCAGGAAGUGCACGAGAAACUGGCAGGCUAGAGUGCGGGAAAAGAGGGCGGAAUUCCCGGUGUAGAGGUGAAAUUCGUAGAUAUCGGGAGGAACACCAGUAGCGAAAGCGGCUCUCUCGACCGACACUGACGCUCAGAUGCGAAAGCGUGGGGAGCAAACAGGAUUAGAUACCCUGGUAGUCCACGCCGUAAACGAUGGGCACUAGGUGUCGGGGGCUUGACCCCUUCGGCGCCGUAGCUAACGCAUUAAGUGCCCCGCCUGGGGAGUACGGUCGCAAGACUA
RNAcentral lists this ribosomal RNA (371 nucleotides) under uncultured organism. RNAcentral's name for it is "partial 16S ribosomal RNA". It matches the Rfam family "Bacterial small subunit ribosomal RNA", at positions 526 to 896 of the family's 1533-position model. The record is from RNAcentral.